Molecule: long non-coding RNA, 225 nt
Organism: Lampris incognitus (smalleye Pacific opah)
Lineage: Eukaryota; Metazoa; Chordata; Actinopteri; Lampriformes; Lampridae
Exons: 3
Source: RefSeq, a predicted model, not a curated record
AACGAUGAAUCGUCCUCUAUUCAUCAUCACUCACAGGACAGUUUGUAAAUUCCUUCACAAAGACGUAAACUAGAGGGGAGAGCAGCUAACGCAGUGUACAGUGGAUGAUGACGCUUUCUGAGAGGAUGACCUCAGCUUUCUGCAAGACCCCUUCUUUCAUGCAGUGGAAGAGGGCCGAGGUGAGGUGUUACAUCUCCUGCUGAUUGAACAUGAUGGAGCUCCGUG